AGCAUGGCUGCCUUAGGGACCUGGCUAUCCAUAGGUGUCCGGAGGUUGCACAGUAGUGCAGUGGCGCGGGCCGGCAGCCAGUGGCGACUCCAGUGAGUGCCGGGCGGGGACGCGGCGGGACCUGGCAUCCCGCCGAUUACUCACCCCCACUGUUUUUACCUCACCCAGGCAAGGGCUGGCUGCCAAUCCUUCCGGCUAUGGGCCCCUCACGGAGCUUCCUGACUGGUCUUUCGCGGGUGAGCCUUGAUGUCAAGGUUUUUUUUCUUUUUCCUCUGAGACCACCCGGUUGUAGGGAUUGGGGGGCGUGUCUGGGAAAAUACUGAACCUUUUACUUAGGCAAGAGUUCGAAGCUCUAAUUUUGUCUGACUACAUAGCUGAGUGUUAGUUCACCCCUGAAGUUUUAGCUUUGGAGAGUUGAGGCAGAGGGAUUGCUGUGAGGCAAAUGCUAUGUAGGGAACCCCUGAUUAUCCUGAACUACAGAAUGAGACCCUGUGUAUCAAUAAAUAAUAAAAAGGCUAAGGAAAGUAAUCUGUAGGGGAUCGUGCCCAGGAGAUACAAGGUAAUUCUAACUUGGGCUGUCCUGGGGGCUGGAAGUGUGUGUGACUUUUAUCCCCUCAGAAGUGGUAUUUUGAGAAUUUGGUUGCAAAUACACAAGGAAUUCUUUGAAAAGCUGCUGAAGAGAACACUGAAGAUCCCUACAACUCUGAAUAUGGCAGACUCAAUACAGGGAAGUCUCUUUUAAAAAAAAAAAAAGCGAAUGAGCUGUCGACACGCCUCGAGAUACGCCUCUAAUGCAGUGACUGUUCUUCCGGAGGAUUUGGGAUCGAUUCUCAACACCCACAUGGUGACUCAAAAUUGCUUGUAACUCCAGUUCCAAGAUCUCUGAUGUCAUCUUUAAGCUUCCACCUGUACCAUGCACCCACACGGUGUUCAGACAUACAUGCAAGGAAAACACCCAAUCACAUUAAGAUAAAACUUUUAAAAGGGUAAUGACACAUACCUGCAAUCAGCACUCAGGAGGCAGAAGCACUCAGAGCUACAUUGUCAAACCUCGCCUCAAAAAAAUCAAAAGUGGGGAAGAAGAAAAAAAAAAAAGCCCUGCAUUUCAUUAUACAGUGAGAUGAAGUUUAGCAAAGACUUACACUGAGUGAAGGGUUUCUGAAGGAAAAAUUAAUUCAGCAUGGCAGACCACCCUAGGUCCGUGCUAUUGACAGGGUUAAAUGAUAGGACCAUGCCUAGGAACUCCGUUUUCAUGAUUCUGUUGUACCUCACCACGGAUGCUAGAUGAGUUUCAGCUGUGGUUGUGAACUGGGUUCCUCUUCAGUAUUAUUUUUGGUGAGCAGAACUGGGACCUGAACCUAGGGCCUCACACAUGCUAUCCCCGACCCCAACCAUAGUCUGUGUGAACUGAAGAGGAAAGCUAGAGAUUUACUCUCUUCUUAAUUCCUAUCACACCAGUGUUUGGACAAGAUGCCCAGACCACAUUGAACACUUUGCCUUUCUUUCAAUUUUAUCUGUAGAUGGCCGCCCUGCUCCCCCAAUGAAAGGCCAACUUCGAAGAGAAGCUCAAAGGGAGAAGCUUGCAAGACGAGUUGUGCUGCUGACACAGGAAAUGGAUGCAGGAUUACAGGCAUGGAAGCUCAGGCAGCAGAAACUGCAGGAAGAAAGGAAGCAGAAACAUGACCUUAAACCUAAAGGGACGUCACUGAGGAACCCACUUCCAAAUCAAUAAAAAGCUCCUGUCCCACUU
RNAcentral lists this long non-coding RNA (1750 nucleotides) under Rattus norvegicus (Norway rat). RNAcentral describes it as "long non-coding RNA NONRATT010398". Lineage: Eukaryota; Metazoa; Chordata; Mammalia; Rodentia; Muridae. The record is from RNAcentral.